Molecule: ribosomal RNA, 497 nt
Filed under: uncultured bacterium
Lineage: Bacteria
Description: partial 16S ribosomal RNA
Rfam family: Bacterial small subunit ribosomal RNA
Source: RNAcentral
GAUGAACGCUGGCGGCGUGCUUAACACAUGCAAGUCGAACGGACAGACGAGAAGCUUGCUUCUUUCACGUUAGCGGCGGGGGGGAGUGAAACAUGUGUAGAACCCACCUAUAUGACGGGGAACACCUCGGGAAACCGGAGCUUAUUCCGGAGAAUAUUCUGCAGCGUAUGGGGCGAUAGUGAAAGACGGCCUUGCUGUAACUUAUCGAUGGUUCCGCGCUGCAUUAGCUAGUUGGUAAGGUAACGGCUUACCAAGGCUACGAGUGAUAGCCGAGCUGAGAGAGUGAUCGGCGACACUGGAACUGAGCCACGGUCCAGGCUCCUACGGGAGGCAGCAGUAGGGAAUGGUCCGCAGUGGGGGGAAACCUGACGCAGCGAGGCCGCGUGAGUGAUGAAGGUCUUCGGUUCGUAAAGCUCUGUUAUGGGUGAAGAACAUAUUUGGAAGGAGAUGUGCACAUAGUGACGGUAACUAGUCAAGAAGCACCGGCUAACUACGUG